AUGAACUCCGACUAUGAACAAUUUUAGAAUAACCAUACAAGUAAAGAGUUUCACAUACAAUUCACAUAAAUGCAAAAUCAAUUCAAGUAGCCUUUAAUGGAAAUUCAAGGAACACAAUAUUAAAUCAUGGAUACAAUGGAAUAUCAUCAUCUCUAUGAUUGCCUCUAGGGCAUACCUCCAACAGUCUCCCACUUGCACUAGAGUCAAUCUAGAAGAUAUCUAAUACCCAUAGCUCUUAUGUGCGCAUCAUGCUUAGACUGCGGGAGAUACUUUGUCAACGGAUCAGAAAUAUUUAAAUCUGUGUGUAUUUUGCAUAUCUUGAUCUCGUCUCGGUUAACAAAGUCUCGAGUGAGAUGAA
RNAcentral lists this long non-coding RNA (358 nucleotides) under Setaria viridis. RNAcentral's name for it is "long non-coding RNA (SVIR_LNC003367)". The record is from RNAcentral. Lineage: Eukaryota; Viridiplantae; Streptophyta; Magnoliopsida; Poales; Poaceae.